Labrus bergylta (ballan wrasse) is the source of this 2032-nucleotide long non-coding RNA. RefSeq lists it as uncharacterized. The record is from RefSeq and is a predicted model, not a curated record. NCBI's taxonomy places the organism in Eukaryota, Metazoa, Chordata, Actinopteri, Labriformes, Labridae.
GACCGCAGUACCAGCAUCACACAAUAACAGAUUGAUCCCCAAGAAGAACAGUCAAAGUCAAUCAUGAAGUAGAGGACCCAAAAAACAAAAAGGAAAACGGCAAACAAAAACUGACUUAUUUAAAUGUCCAAAGAAGAUCCGCAAAAGGCAAAACAAAUCACGAGGAGAAACGCUGGAAUGAAGGCAGGAUACACAGAAAUAUGGGGAGAAAUGAAACCAAUUAAACCAACGCGCAUGUCUUUGGACUGUGGGAGGAAGCUGGAGUACCCGGAGAGAACCCACGCAUGCACGGGGAGAACAUGCAAACUCCACACAGAGAGGCUCCUGUCCGACGGGGAUUUGAACCAGGAGCCGUCGUACAACAGCACCACUGUGCAGCCCCUCAUUUAAUUCAUUGAUUUAAAAUGUAGUUUUGGUCUUUCUUUCCCUCUCUGUUCAUUCAAGGCACUAACUUCUCUGUCAGAAAACUAACCAACAGGUUUAGCUUCUCCUCCUGUUUUGAUCUCUCUGCAAGACUGUGUGUGUGUGUGUAUGGGGGAGGGGAGGGAAGGGGAGGUGUUACAUGCUACUUAGCACAGUAGCCCAGUGACGCUGUGAGCCUCUUGCCCAAGUCCAUUAGCGAGUCACAAACACAGACAUAUACGGAUUAGGUGUCGUCACACCAAAGGAAUGUGGACAGGGUUUCCUCAUUAUGAGUCGGCUCAAGUUCGGGAAGGAAAUAAGAGGGGGCGUCAGGUGGUGCUUGGCCCGAAAGGUCGAUGAUACGGGAGAAGACCCUCACCCCCCCCCCAACACUCACAGAGCAGCUGUGCAUCAUAAACAAGCCAGUGAGCUGAACCUGGACAGACAGGGGGACAGACUUUAAAUCAUAUCUGUGUUUCUUUAAUCAUGUUGCUUUAGUGAUGUCGCUUGGUUAGCAGAGAGUCAUUUCUGUCCGAGCAGAUUGAUUAACAGAUUGAUUUGCUUUUCCUCUGCAUGAUAUCUGUUUGAGUAUUCAGCAGCAGCUCCUCUCAGUGUCUUUGACCAAGGUGAACCAUGACUAGAUGGGGUUUUUUUUUCUUUCUGUCUGUCUGUGUUGGACUCGGAGCUACAAGGAGUCAGCUUGUAGGUUCAGCUGUGCAAGAGGAAGUAGCUCUGUGUAUGAGGAGACACUGAGCACAUGAGCAGGGACGACGCCUGUAGCAGCAGGUGGAAUUUAGUCUCUCAAACUCUGUGUGUCGGAUGAUAAAGUAAAAUCUACGCUGCACUUUCCACACCGCCAUCCCUGUGAUUUACUGCGUUCACCUUUGGGUGCUAUACAGUCAUUCUGUCAUGGGCUGAACCCCUGCUCAGAAAAUACCUCACGUCUCCUUCUUCUUACAGAAAAAUGACUCCUCUCUUCUCACUCGGCUUGUUCUCUCUAACUCUGAAAUAAAUAACCUUCAUGUUUCUUUUCCAACACACUGUUCUUUCAUACUUUUCAUGGGAUUUCAUAUUUUCGGGUAUUAUGACCCAUGAUCCUUUACUAGUUAAGCCUUGUAAUGUAGCUGAUCUGGGUAUCAGAUCUUAUUUAAUGUUGCAUUCAUUCAAAGUUGCCACACAUAGGGGUAUUAGCUUAUCAAGCCACUAAGCUGCCUGUUUAGACUGUUUUUGUUUUUUGCAACUCCAAGCAAGCAAAUCAAAAAGUUUACGAUUUGUCAUAUGACUUUAUGAGAGGCGUGUCUGUGGAUUUUACAACAGUCUGCAUAAAACAACACCAACGAGGGAAAUUGGAGGAAAGCCAUGCCUCCACGUUUGGAGGCAAAAGUCCAUAAAACGGUUUUUUUAUACAGUCCAGGUUCAAACAGCACAAGAUAACAUGAGAUAACAUAAGAUAGGAUAGAAUAAGAUAAUACUUUAUUGAUCGCCAGAGGGGAAAUUCAAGUGUUGCUGCAGUUAAAAGACAAGAAGAAGAGCAUGGGGGUGUUGGUGGCACGGGGGUUGGUGCGUGCGCCCCAUGUGUGGAGGGUAUGGUCCUCCGGGCGGCCCGGGUUCGAGUCUAACCUGAGGCUCC